This 433-nucleotide ribosomal RNA is filed under the name uncultured bacterium. RNAcentral describes it as "partial 16S ribosomal RNA". It matches the Rfam family "Bacterial small subunit ribosomal RNA", at positions 36 to 507 of the family's 1533-position model. The record is from RNAcentral.
CCCUCCCUCUUUCUUCAGGCCUAACACAUGCAAGUCGAGCGAGAUCUUCGGGUCUAGCGGCGGACGGGUGAGUAACGCGUGGGAAUAUGCCUCUUGGUACGGAAUAGCCUCGGGAAACUGGGAGUAAUACCGUAUGUGCCCUUUGGGGGAAAGAUUUAUCGCCAAGGGAUUAGCCCGCGUUGGAUUAGGUAGUUGGUGGGGUAAUGGCCUACCAAGCCGACGAUCCAUAGCUGGUUUGAGAGGAUGAUCAGCCACACUGGGACUGAGACACGGCCCAGACUCCUACGGGAGGCAGCAGUGGGGAAUCUUAGACAAUGGGGGCAACGCUGAUCUAGCCAUGCCGCGUGAGUGAUGAAGUCCUUAGGGUUGUAAAGCUCUUUAAGCUGGGAAGAUAAUGACGGUACCAGCAGAAGAAGCCCCGGCUAACUCCGUG